AUGAUGCAAAUCUUCGUGAAGACGUUGACAGGAAAGAAUAUUGCUCUUGAGGUUGGGAGCACGUAUACCAUCGACAAUGUCAAGGUGGAGAUCUACAAGAAGGAAGGCGUUACCCCAAACCAGCAGCGCCUCAUCUUUGCUGGCAGGCAGCUUGAGGGUGGCUGCACCCUGGCAGACUACAACAUUCAGAAGGAGCAUACCAUUCACUUGGUUCUCUGCCUUUGUGGUUGCUGA
RNAcentral lists this ribosomal RNA (234 nucleotides) under Triticum aestivum (bread wheat). RNAcentral describes it as "partial small subunit ribosomal RNA". Lineage: Eukaryota; Viridiplantae; Streptophyta; Magnoliopsida; Poales; Poaceae. The record is from RNAcentral.